ACUACGGGUGGCAGCAGUGGGGAAUAUUGGGCAAUGGGCGAAAGCCUGACCCAGCAACGCCGCGUGAAGGAAGAAGGCUCUCGGGUUGUAAACUUCUUUUCUCAGGGACGAAGAAAGUGACGGUACCUGAGGAAUAAGCGACGGCGAACUACGUGCCAGCAGCCGCGGUAAUACGGAGGUGGCAAGCGGUAUCCGGAUUUAAUGGGUGUAAAGGGCGUGGAGGCGGGACUGUGAGUCAGAUGUGAAAACCACGGGCUCAACCUGUGGCCUGCAUUUGAAACUGUAGUUCUUGAGUACUGGAGAGGCAGACGGAAUUCCUAGUGUAGCGGUGAAAUGCGUAGAUAUUAGGAGGAACACCAGUGGCGAAGGCGGUCUGCUGGACAGCAACUGACGCUGAGGCGCGAAAGCGUGGGGAGCAAACAGGAUUAGAUACCCGAGUAGUC
Molecule: ribosomal RNA, 443 nt
Filed under: uncultured bacterium
Lineage: Bacteria
Description: partial 16S ribosomal RNA
Rfam family: Bacterial small subunit ribosomal RNA
Source: RNAcentral